CUUUCAUCAAGUUUCUCCAACAUGAUUGCCAUGACGUGUCCCUUACAAAUCUCGAAAAGAGAAUGCUUAUCCACAACCACAAAACCAAGUAUUACGAAAGUCACCGAACUGUGGAAUCGCAUAAAAAAUUCGUAUAUCGACCACUCCCACAAACGUCUACGGCCGCGCCUACAUAGUUUGCAUGUUUACAAUUCUAAUUUUGAACAGCCAAUCAGGUUCUUGCUAAC
Molecule: non-coding RNA, 227 nt
Organism: Paramuricea clavata
Lineage: Eukaryota; Metazoa; Cnidaria; Anthozoa; Malacalcyonacea; Plexauridae
Source: the annotation of a GenBank genome assembly